CCAGUUUUUCCUCCCCCUUUGAGUUGCAUAGACACUUAAAUAAAUAAACGUAAGCACACACAGCCCCCGGUCCCAUCCCAAAUCUUUUCUAGGUUGCCCCACAUGUGGAACCAUGCAGGAUUUGCCUGAUUCAGGGGCUGGCAGGCUAAAUGGAGCUCACGCCAGCGUGCUGUGAGGCGAGCUGUCAUGAGGAGACCAGCUAUGGAGAAUUGACUCGCAUUGCCGUUGUGCGCGGGAGGAACUCCAGGAACCUUCCACUGUGCCCAGCGCUUCUUUUUUUCCCCUUUUCUUUUUAAUACUAAUGUGGUUCUGAACCCAUGUUGAAAGGAAAAUAUGUUUUCUUUCACCCUUUAAGUUUCAGCUGUGGAAGGAUGCUUAAAAUGUACACUCACUCACUGUAUUUUAUCCUGGAAUUUAUUACAGGUUGAGCCCACCUGCUGGCCCUUGAGACCCUGCAGUUUUGUCCCAAGUUUGGCUGCUUCCGUAAUAUUUUGCACAGAGAAAUUGGGUCAUGAUUUUAACACCCUGUAACGCCUCUAUUGCGUUCUUGCACCUCGGGGUCUUUGGGCAGAAUCUGAUGCAGGAACCCUAGGAACAAAAGGUAAAUAAUGACUACGGUUCACUCAUGAACCAGUGCUCAAUUUUGUGAUUUCUGACCUCUAAUUUUGGACAAGCACUUACAAAAAACGAGCUGUCAGAAACCCAUUUUCCUGCUCUCCAAAAGAGCCUGUUUUUUGACAGUCUCUGCUAUUGUCUAGAUAACAGCUUCCUCCAGCCCUCCUCCACGCACAGCUCUUUGUUGUUCUCCUCCAUAGCUCGGGAGUUAAAAUAAAGCUUUCAGCAAAUGUGGCAUUUCCUUCUCCUCUGCUCUGCUGUUGUCACAAAUGAUUUUAUAGAACAAAUCUAAUUUUGCCUUCAACAAGCUUUGUUGUUGUUUGUUGGUGUUUUUUGUUGUUUUGUUUUUGUUUUUAAACAGCAAUUCUUAUAAUGAUAGUGAAAAUAUUCUUUGACAUAAAGUGUUGAUUUUGGUGGAGAAUAAUAUCCCUCAGCCUGGCUUUCUCUGCUGUCCACAUAUUUUUGUAAAAUUUCCAGUAGGUUUUCUACUUAUAUGAAUACUUCUGACCUCAUGGGUACCUAGGACGCGAGGAUCAGUAAGAAAAUGAAAAUAAACAUUUAUUUUCCCCCUUUAACAUGUAAUAUAUUGCAGUUAUUGGUUACCUGGCUCUGCUGUACGCUCAGUGGGGACAUGUGCCUAUCCCUUCGGAUGGAACAUGAAAACAGCACAGUAUUUCCAAACCAAGGCUUGGUGUUGGAGGGGUUUCCCACCUCUUUACUCCUUGUCCAUGCUGAGGAAGGUCGCCUGCUCUUUGCAUGGUCUUCCUCCAUCUCAGUCUUGGCCGUCGGUGCUCUAUUGCCAUCAUCUGGCCUUCUGUAGCCUUUAAUCUGAAGGAUUUGGCCCCCCAGAUUGUCUUCAUAAAUGUUUCUGAGGUGGAAGCUGAGUUAUUUUCUCAGUACUCUCAGCACCACAAUCCCCCCGCGGGCUCCAAGUUGGAAGCAGCAGAAAUGUGAGCACCUCCCUUCAAACUGAUGGAGCACGGCGAUGUGGUCCAGCACUUUUUCAAUGCUGCGGUGUAAAAGAUAACUCUCUCAUCUCAGGAAAUCCUUCUGUCUUGACUGUGGAAGUAGGCCAAUGACUUAUUAAACAUUGAUUUUCCAUUUCAACCAAUACAUUGAACGCAACAAGCGGAGGCCAGGCCGCCUCUGUGGCCUUUGUGCUGGACAGAAGCAGCUGGGGUGGGUGCAGGGGGCACAGGCUGGGGACACGGUGCUGACACGAGGCCGAUGCACGACACAGGGCUGGAGCAGCUGGGUUGGUCCCUGUUUGGGCAGCUCCACCUUCAGGCACAAACACAGGUCACAGCAUGAGGCCAUGAAAUGCCCAUGACAUGGAGGCUGCGUGAGCGCAGCAGCGCAGGCGGCUCUGUGGUUGUGGUGACUUCAACAAGCCACAAAAUGGCCGCCCCGAGGCUCGGCUUCUGUGGCAGCGUGUGGUAAAAUGGAGAGGUCCCCAAAUCCAGCUGGUCACAGCCUGGGCAACUUUUGACACAGAAAGGGGUUAAACAUCACGGUAACCUGUUUAAGGUGUUCCCUGUGUCUUGGUCUUUUCUAGAUCCCUCCUCUGGGUCAUAGCUUGUGCUUUUAAAAUCAUUUCAACCUCCGUAAUUUUUUGGCAGUUUGGGGGAAGAGCCCGUGAGUUCAGGAGAAUUUAUUUCUGGCUAGAGAAUGCAGUUUCAGAUGAGACAUCUGACACCAUGAAAAUGAGGCGCUUCUUGUGGGAAUACUUCAUUCUGUCAGAAUAUUUUUGUCUGUUUAUUUCUGCUGCUCUGGCACUUACAGGAGAUGCUGAUUAUAAAGAACUUCUUGAAGGAAAGAAAGGCAGAGGUUACAAGGCUUUGAAAAUUAGAAACACAACCAAAAAAAAGAAUUUUAAUAGAGACCGAAGGAGAAGAGCUUGAGCAGGAAAGAAAAUGAAGAUGACUACAACUGAAAUAAUCCUGGAUGUUCUAGAGAGGAGGUUGCUGUUUGUUUACUUUCUGGUAGGAAGAUCUUUUUCUCCCAAAGUAACAAAAAUAAGCCAGUUUCUGGUAGAUGGCAUCACCUUUGUGAAUGUCAGUGGUAUGGGAACCAUUUUCCUGCAAAUCCUUUUACUGGCUGUCCUUUUAGGUGCGUUCAUUCCUAUUAGCCUUCUGAGUGUAUAAAGACUAAUUUUUAGAAAAUAUUGUGCAUAUGUUUUUUGAAAUCUCCUUUAAAAGAUGGAAAGAAUGUAUUUCUACUGUUUAAAAAAAAUGAUGUUUUUAAGAGAGGGAUGAAACCUCUUCUACCAAUGUGUCAUUUAUAAAGGUUGAUGUAACAGUGUGUGCCUGUGUCUGUACAUGCAAGUAUGCACAAAGAGAUCAAGACCAAUUUACAUAGGGAGUGUUUAUCUUCAUUUUUGCCCUUUCCUGUUCCGCCUCCUCACCCCUCCACUUCUCCGCAUGACGGGCAGGUGCCUGCACUCCUCCUCCUUCUGGUGCAUUUUCCUUUCAGGUUACCCCAAGCUAUUGUGACCACCUGGGUGCCCCCAGGCUUUCCUUGGAAAAAACAGUGUUCAGAGAUGCCAGGCAGAGCCUCUCUGCUCCCCAGGAUAGCUCCUACAACCGAGCUCUCGCCUCCCUGAAGAUUUCUGUCAGGCAGAGCUGCACGUUCCCUACCGCAGCUUAGAGAAGUGCUCUCUGCAGAGCCAGGCCCGCCUGGCUCCCAUGCAGCUGUGGCAGCUUGGCUGUGGUGAGCAGUGUGGCAGGAGUCCAGCUGCCUCCCCAGCUCUGUCAACUCGCUGAAAUAUUUGAGAUAUUGACGAUAAUUGCUACAGCUGUUUUUGUAUAUUUUCCCUCCUUUCUUUCCCCCUUCUUGCAACAGAGAUGAAGAGUGACAGAAAUAGAUUCUUAGGAGCUGAGAGCUGUCUGAUCACUUAAAGGGUUUUUUAUUUCCAUACUGCUCUUGUACAUUAGUCAGGAUUUUGAUGGAUGGCCUGCUGUAGGACAUAGUUAGCACUCCCUUUUAGCUCUGCUGUGUUCCAAACGCUGUAAUUGAUUAUACGGGUAUUGGAACAGACUUUUUUUAUCAGUUCCCUGGGCGCUUUGACCACAGCGUUUCAAGGAAGUAAAACAAGGGGGGUGAUCAGGCAGGUUGGCAGAUAGGCAGCACUGAGGUCCUACAGAAGCCCAUGACCCUACAGUGCCGACUGUAUGAUCCCAGUUCACUCACUAUGAAUUUAUCUUAGCCACACCGCCUAUAUCCCCUUUGCCUAAUGUGAAGCAUAUGCUCGCUAAAUUAAGGGCACAUAAAUUUGUCAUCAUAAAUUCAUGCACUGGAGCAUAAUUAAAGCGGAAUUUGACAGCCUUUCUAAAAACAUUUGGUGCACCCAUUAAUUUUGUCUCCCUUAUGAAGCAUUCUAAGGUAUUUUAUGAUGUGUAUUCAUGCCAAGAACUUAGCUAUGUAUUUUUGAUGAUGUUGGAUGACAUCGAUGGCAUUACUAAAUUUGAUUGCCAGCGGCCUCUACUGUGAAACUGUUCUUCAACAACAGAAGAAUCUUUUUAACUCUGAAAGUACAUCAACAUUGUAGUCCCUAGUAAAGGUUGGGAUUUAUAUUCUAAAAGCUGUCCUCAGGCACUCCAAGCAUAGAUGCUGCUUAGUGCUUCUUAUUGACCUGAGACCAGAAUUACUAAUAAUUUUGUUAGAUACUCAUCAGGAUCACAACACUGUCAGAGCACUGCAUGUCUGUUCCUGUUUUGCCCUGCUCCAGUGCUCUCUUGUACCUGAACUGCUGGAAAAUCAAUCUUAGAUCUGACAGGACUGUGUUCGCCUGGGCUUUUGGCAGCAGCAGUGCCAGCAUCCAUGCUAGCCGUGCAUGAAAAGGAGAUGCUACACUCUGCACUCAGACCAGUGACACUACACACCGGCCCCGUUCCUGCAGACGUACUAGCUUUCAUUCAUUCCUCUUCCACCCUUUGCCCUGUGAGCUGCAGAAGCCCUUUGUAUUUAGGGCCGUGCAAGUAAAUGUAGCUCCUCCAUAGAAACACCUUGCAUUAUUGGCAGUUCCCCAUUUAUUCCACUUCUUUUUCUUCUGAGAGAUUUGAAAGCCUACAGUUUCACUUCAGUCAUCAUGGAUCUCCCUCAUUUCUGUCCUGCGAUAGGGGUGAAGGGGGACAUUUCUUUAUAAGGUGAGAAUUCAUAAGACCAGAGCUCUGAUCACAGCAAAGAAAACCAAAAAUGCCUGUCACCAUCAAGAAAUCUUGUUUUUAUUUUUUUCCAGGAGAACAUUUAUGAAGUUUAGGUCAAACCAUCCACCUCACCAUAGCCAUAAAACAGCAGCAGUAGUAGGAUUCAAGUGAUUAUUGUUAUUGUGGGUGGUUACUUGUUUGGUUUUGUUUCUUGAGACAGAUGCUCAUCUCCUUACACUAGACCUUGGCCAUGUCACCUCCUUUAUAGCUGACCUAUAAAUCCCAGCAGUCAGAUGAAAGGUUGUUUAACAUUUGCAUUUCAAUGUUUUCUUCUCUUCCACUUCCUUUUGUUUUUAUUAAAUUAGAACAUAGCAUUUGCAUAUUUCAGAUCUGGUUUGGGCUUUACUUGGAUGUGUGUCGCACCAGCAGGGCAUGGGCUGGAAGGACUUUGAAAGUUGCCAUGUCUACCACAGAGCAGUCUGGAGAGCUGAAGCAUACCCAAAGCCUAAAUUACAACUCUGAUCUGCCAAGUUUGGGCUUUGAGGGAUUAUCUAGAAAAAGCAUCACACUGACUCUUAAAAAAAACCUUUAUUGCAUGUUUUACUUCCUCUUUUCAAUCCAAAUAUCAAAAGCAACACUUCAGUUCUGUCUCAGACCUCUCCCUUUUCAGAAAAGCUGGCACUUUAUGAGGAUAGAGGUACUCUCCCAUCCAACUACCAGACAAUGCACGCCCAAGGGCUGAAACAAACCUGACCGAACACAUUCAACUCAUUAUGCCAGAGGCCAAACUCCCCUUAGACCAGCUAUCUCGGUACAGAAGGAUUUCCCUUUGGUGACCAGCUCUCCACUCCCUGCAGCAGUUACAUCCUAAAUCCAUCAGACAGCUCUG
Molecule: long non-coding RNA, 5649 nt
Organism: Cygnus olor (mute swan)
Lineage: Eukaryota; Metazoa; Chordata; Aves; Anseriformes; Anatidae
Exons: 2
Source: RefSeq, a predicted model, not a curated record